Lolium rigidum is the source of this 181-nucleotide long non-coding RNA. RefSeq lists it as uncharacterized. Lineage: Eukaryota; Viridiplantae; Streptophyta; Magnoliopsida; Poales; Poaceae. The record is from RefSeq and is a predicted model, not a curated record. The transcript is spliced from 3 exons.
CCGCUACGCCCAUUGCCAGCGCCUAGCAAGAUUUUGGCGUUUGGCAUACGGAGCACGAUCUGCCGCAUUUCCAUGGCAUUGAGACGAGGUGUGUGAGAAUAAUCCAAAGAGGCUGCACUACAUAAUUAAUCUAUGUGAUACUUUAAUCUGCAAGCUCUAGGUGAGUACCUACUAUAUUUGA